This 499-nucleotide ribosomal RNA is filed under the name uncultured bacterium. RNAcentral describes it as "bacterial SSU rRNA". It matches the Rfam family "Bacterial small subunit ribosomal RNA", at positions 29 to 507 of the family's 1533-position model. The record is from RNAcentral.
ACGAACGCUGGCGGCGUGCCUAAUACAUGCAAGUCGAGCGGAAUGAUGAAGAAGCUUGCUUCUUCUGAUUUUAGCGGCGGACGGGUGAGUAACACGUGGGCAACCUACCUUGUAGAUUGGGAUAACUCCGGGAAACCGGGGCUAAUACCGAAUAAUCCAUUUUGCUUCAUGGCGAGAUGUUGAAAGACGGUUUCGGCUGUCACUACAAGAUGGGCCCGCGGCGCAUUAGCUAGUUGGUAGGGUAAUGGCCUACCAAGGCGACGAUGCGUAGCCGACCUGAGAGGGUGAUCGGCCACACUGGGGCUGAGACACGGCCCAGACUCCUACGGGAGGCAGCAGUAGGGAAUCUUCCACAAUGGACGAAAGUCUGAUGGAGCAACGCCGCGUGAGUGAAGAAGGUUUUCGGAUCGUAAAACUCUGUUGUAAGGGAAGAACACGUACGAGAGUAACUGCUCGUACCUUGACGGUACCUUAUUAGAAAGCCACGGCUAACUACGUG